This 1999-nucleotide long non-coding RNA is filed under the name Sus scrofa (pig). RNAcentral describes it as "lncRNA (ENSSSCG00050017019.1)". The record is from RNAcentral. Lineage: Eukaryota; Metazoa; Chordata; Mammalia; Artiodactyla; Suidae.
AGAGCAUGUGAGAUUUUUUUAUACACCCUCUAAGAGUGUGUUACCUAACCAAACUGAGCUCUAUUUGUUACAAAUCCUCAGUCCUUUUGUCUCCCAAAGGCAAGAGAUGAAAUGAGAGACAGAGCAGUUUUUUUUUUUUUUUUGCUUUUUUUAGGCCCACACCCCCAGCAUAUGGAGGAUCCCAGGCCAGGGGUUGAGUCCAAGUUAUAGCUGCUGCCCUAUGCCACAGCCACAGCAACACCAGAUCCAAGCCGCAUCUGCAGCCUACACCACAGGUCACAGCAACGCCAGAUUCUUAACCCUCUGAGCUAGGCCAGGGAUUGAACCCUGAAACCUCAUGGUUCCUAGUCGGCUUCGUUAACCACUGAGCCACGACGGGAACUCCUCCCAGAGCAGUUUUAAGCAGCAAAAAUUUCAUUAAGUGAAGCGAGCUAAAAGUACACUCCCAAAGAGGAGAGAAGAGAGCAGGCUGUCUGGCUGGAAACCAGAAGCAGCCACACAAUGAGCGUAGAGCUAGUUUUUCGGACUAGUGGAAAGUUCCUCCUUGUGUCAUUUGAUUGACAAGGUGAUUGACAACUUUAGAUUAUAUAACUUUUCUCCUUGUGCACAGGCCCUUACCCCUAAACAUCCAGGUGAAACCUGAGGGGGUGGGGGACAAAAACCACAAUGCUAGUUUAUUAUAAAUAUGGCAUAAUGAACCCCGGUUGUUUUGGGUUCCCUCUUAGGUCUUGGCGUGCCUGUGCAGUUUGGACAGCCCAGCUGUGUUUCGGACCUUCUACUUGGGCCUGAUAAGGCCGGCCCUUAACCACAAAAGAGAGGGUCUCUGGGUCUGCUCUGGUCAGUGUCAAGGGGUGGGAGAAGGGGAAAAUGACUUUGUCCAGAAUGGGGUGGGACCUGCUCAUGUCUGCCUUGCUGCCUAACGCGUUCACCCAUGCACAGCAAAGCCAGUCUACUGAUCCCGGGUUGUGCUGAAGGAAAGUACAGUGUUUUUUGCAACCUACUAAGCAAGGAGUCCAGGUGGAUGAUGCUCGGAAGACCCCAACUCUGUGAUGUCUUUCAGGAAGGGGUUUCAAAGGCAAGGUGAGGAAGAGGCUUAUGGGGAAUGUGAUCGGCUGGCGCACAGUUUUCUGUUUUGUGGGUGGUGAGGUAACCGAGUGAGGCCACAGGGCUUAAUAUUAUCAACCUUCAACCGCCAGGAGCAAGCCCUCUUUGCUCUCGGUCAUCACGAGAUGGAAACCUGUUUAGGCUCUGGCUUCUUCGAAACAGCCUGAGGGAUGUGCCUUAGACUUUAUCUUUGAGAUAGAACUGGGAGUCCUUGAGGUCAAUUUAUUGCUUAAGUUAAGGUUAUUUCUCUGCCUAACCUGUCUUUGUUUCUGUAUUUCUUAGCUUUUCCCAUCAACUGCUAGGGCUAGUUUCUUUCUCUCUUUACUUGUGGAGGAUCUAGGAGGAUGCAUAUAUUCUAAUCACCAGUAAGCGGGGGACACACUAGGCCUUCUGUCAUCAGGAAGGCCUCUUCAUAAGUCUGCUCCGCUUCCAUCCCCCCCUUUUUUUGUAAUUCUCCUCAAUCCUGAGGGGAAUCGAGGUGAUGAGUGCUCUGGCUACUUCUUGCUCAAUGGGGGUGACAUUUAAAAGGGGGGAGGAUUUGAAGAGAGAAAUUUUUGAGCCUUUAUUUCAAAGAACACUGUGUCCCACAUGGCAUUUUCUAAUUACUGCAAAACAAAUAGAGAAGCCUUUUCUUUCUCUUUCUUGCUUGUUGUCUCCUUCCCUUACAAUAAUACUUUAGCGGGGAAAAUGCUAAUGACUGUCAGAAAGAGAGUAGCCAUCUCUUUAAUCAAAAUUUCUCAUGUAUUGUCACUGGGAGCUGUAUCUAAUCACUUACGAUGGAGCUUGAUAAUGUGGGAAAAAAGAAUGUGUACAUGUAUGUGUAACUGGGUCACCAUGCUGUACAGUAGAAAAUUGACAGAACACUGUAAACCAGCUAUGACGGAAAAAAUAAAAA